UGACUGAUAGCUCAGUUGGUAAAGUAUCUGCCUGCAAUGCAGGAGAUUAUUCCUGGGUUGAUUCUUCAGUUAA
Molecule: transfer RNA, 73 nt
Filed under: Bos taurus (domestic cattle)
Lineage: Eukaryota; Metazoa; Chordata; Mammalia; Artiodactyla; Bovidae
Also listed under: 1 other name
Rfam family: tRNA
About the family: Transfer RNA (tRNA) molecules are approximately 80 nucleotides in length. Their secondary structure includes four short double-helical elements and three loops (D, anti-codon, and T loops).
Source: Rfam by way of RNAcentral